Molecule: ribosomal RNA, 301 nt
Filed under: uncultured bacterium
Lineage: Bacteria
Description: partial 16S ribosomal RNA
Rfam family: Bacterial small subunit ribosomal RNA
Source: RNAcentral
CAGUAGCCGCGGGAAUACGUAGGUGGCAAGCGUUGUCCGGAAUUAUUGGGCGUAAAGGGCUCGCAGGCGGUUUCUUAAGUCUGAUGUGAAAGCCCCCGGCUCAACCGGGGAGGGUCAUUGGAAACUGGGAGACCUGAGUGCAGAAGAGGAGAGUGGAAUUCCACGUGUAGCGGUGAAAUGCGUAGAGAUGUGGAGGAACACCAGUGGCGAAGGCGACUCUCUGGUCUGUAACUGACGCUGAGGAGCGAAAGCGUGGGGAGCGAACAGGAUUAGAUACCCGUGUAGUCCCUGUCUCUUAUAC